AUUGAACGCUGGCGGCAGGCCUAACACAUGCAAGUCGAGCGAGCGGCGGGCGCGUGAGUAAUGUAUGGGGACUCCCCGAUAGAGGGGGAUAACUACUGGAAACGGUAUCUCUUACCGCAUACUAUCGGAUAAUCCAUAUGGGAUUAGCUAGUAGGUGGGGUAAUGGCGCACCUAGGCGACGAUCCCUAGCUGGUCUGAGAGGAUGAUCAGCCACACUGGAACUGAGACACGGCCCAGACUCCUACGGAGGCAGCAGUGGGGAAUAUUGCACAAUGGGCGCAAGCCUGAUGCAGCCAUGCCGCGUGUAUGAAGAAGGCCCUAGGGUUGUAAAGUACUUUCAGUCGGGAGGCGUUACCGACAGAAGAAGCACCGACUAACUCCGUGCCAGCAGCCGCGGUAAUUC
Molecule: ribosomal RNA, 403 nt
Filed under: uncultured bacterium
Lineage: Bacteria
Description: partial 16S ribosomal RNA
Rfam family: Bacterial small subunit ribosomal RNA
Source: RNAcentral